Molecule: long non-coding RNA, 541 nt
Filed under: Rattus norvegicus (Norway rat)
Lineage: Eukaryota; Metazoa; Chordata; Mammalia; Rodentia; Muridae
Description: long non-coding RNA NONRATT012369
Source: RNAcentral
CCCCCCCCUCUCUCUCUCUCUUCCUUCCUUCCUUUCCAGUAUUUUAGGGCACCACUGUAGAGAAGAUUGUGAUAGCUUUGUUCAGCUGAUGGACACACUUGUUUGACAUAUAAGGUAGACAUUGAGAACGCCCAGGGAUUUCCCCUGCAUAAUCACCAACUGCUUGAAGUGGCAUUUUCCACUCUGACUUGCUGUUUGGUUUUGUUAGAUUGCAGCAUCCUGGAACGGAAUGAAAGGAUCUGUGCAGAGACGGCAAAAGUCGGGUUACAGUAGACCCUGAGCAAAACAGAGUGGACUCCAGCCUGCGUGGAUGAUCUUGAAACAGGAAUGGUUUGGGGUAAGUCACCCCACUGGGGUUGGCGUUUACCUGUUUUAAAUUCAUGUGGAGUAUUUAUUUGGUGUUCCGGGAUCGGUUAGUGAAUAAGAUGCAUAGCUAUUUUCCCCCCAUAGCUCAAGCAAUACGACUUCAGGGCAAGACACAUGUGGUUAGGAAAAAUGAAACAAAACCAACAAAUGAACCAACCAAAAAAAAAAAAAAACC